GAUGAACGCUGGCGGCGUGCCUAAUACAUGCAAGUCGAGCGGCAGCACGGUCUUCGGACUGGUGGCGAGCGGCGGACGGCAGAGUAACGCGUAGGAAUAUACCCCAAAGUGAGGGAUAAGCUCCAGAAAUGGAGUCUAAUACCGCAUAUGGUCUUCGGAUUAAAGCCUUCGGGCGCUAUGGGAAUAGCCUGCGUUCGAUUAGCUAGUUGGUGAGGUAAUGGCUCACCAAGGCGACGAUCGAUAGCUGGUCUGAGAGGAUGAUCAGCCUGACUGGAACUGAGAUACGGUCCAGACUCCUACGGGAGGCAGCAGUAGGGAAUUUUCCACAAUGGGCGAAAGCCUGAUGGAGCAACGCCGCGUGCAGGAUGAAGGCCUUCGGGUCGUAAACUGCUUUUAUGUGCGAAGAAUAUGACGGUAACACAUGAAUAAGGGUCGGCUAACUACGUG
Molecule: ribosomal RNA, 447 nt
Filed under: uncultured bacterium
Lineage: Bacteria
Also listed under: 1 other name
Description: bacterial SSU rRNA
Rfam family: Bacterial small subunit ribosomal RNA
Source: RNAcentral